RNAcentral lists this ribosomal RNA (460 nucleotides) under uncultured bacterium. RNAcentral's name for it is "partial 16S ribosomal RNA". It matches the Rfam family "Bacterial small subunit ribosomal RNA", at positions 338 to 795 of the family's 1533-position model. The record is from RNAcentral.
CCUACGGGAGGCAGCAGUGAGGAAUAUUGGUCAAUGGGCGUAAGCCUGAACCAGCCAAGUCGCGUGAGGGAUGAAGGUUCUAUGGAUCGUAAACCUCUUUUAUAAGGGAAUAAAGUGUGGGACGUGUCCUGUUUUGUAUGUACCUUAUGAAUAAGGAUCGGCUAACUCCGUGCCAGCAGCCGCGGUAAUACGGAGGACCCGAGCGUUAUCCGGAUUUAUUGGGUUUAAAGGGUGUGUAGGCGGCCUUUUAAGUCAGCGGUGAAAGUCUGUGGCUCAACCAUAGAAUUGCCGUUGAAACUGGAAGGCUUGAGUGUGUUAGAGGCAGGGGGAAUGCGUGGUGUAGCGGUGAAAUGCUUAGAGAUCAGGCGGAACCCCGGUGGCGAAGGCGGCCUGCGAAGCCAUGACUGACGUUGAUGCUCGAAAGCGUGGGGAUCAAACAGGAUUAGAUACCUUUGUAGUC